RNAcentral lists this long non-coding RNA (1381 nucleotides) under Phocoena sinus (vaquita). Its description in RNAcentral is "lncRNA (ENSPSNG00000009387.1)". The record is from RNAcentral. Lineage: Eukaryota; Metazoa; Chordata; Mammalia; Artiodactyla; Phocoenidae.
GCACAUGAUGGUUGUUUUCAGUGUUCCAGAGUGUUUCAGGAAGGAAAAGUGAAGGGAAUCCAUUGUUGGUCCAGAGGUUAGAACUACAACAAUGGGUAGAAGCCAUAUAAACAGCAGUGGUUCUGAACCUUGACUUCACAAUGGAACCUCCUGGGGAGCCUUAAAAAGUAACUUAUGCCUGAGCUUUACCCCCCCAGAGAUUCUGAUUUAAUUUGUGUGAAUUGCUGCCUGGGCAUCAGGAUAACUCAUUUUAGAGAGAUUUUUUACAAAAAAUUUUUGAAGCUAGUAUUUGAUUAAUUAGCAGCUUCAGUUUACUAGAAUAUCCCAUUUCCCCAAACUGAUUACAUGAGGUCUUGCUAUUUUUUAACUCCUUAUUUUGAAAAAAUUUCAAAUCUAUAGAACAGUAACAGUACAAUGAACUCAUGUGUACUCUUACCUAGAUUUAUAAUGUUUAACUUCACCACAUUUGCUUUAUAUCUUUCUAAAUGUACGUAAUUGUUACUGCUGAAUCAUUUGAGGGUAAGUUGAAGGCCCUUCAUCUUUAAAUACCUCAUGAUCUAUAUCUCCUAAGAACAAGGAUAUUCUCUCACAUAACUACAGUACAAUUAUAUAAUUCAGAGAAGUUAACAUCAGUACAAUAUUAUCUUCUACUAUAUAGUCCAUAUUCAAACUUGCCAGUUGUCCCAGUAAUGUCCUGUAUAGCAAUUUCUGCUUUAGGGUCCAGUGUGGGAACACUUAUUGCAUUUAGUUUGUCAUAUCUCUUUAGCAUUCUUCAAUUUUUAGUAGGUCCUCACCCUUUCUUUUUUUGUCUUUCAUGACAUUUUUGAGGUGAGGCCUUUUGUAGAACGUCUCUCGGUUUGGGUUCUUAUGACUGAAUUCAGGUUAUGCAUUUUUGGCUAAAAUAUUACAUAAGCUGUAUGUCCUCAAUACAUCACAUCGAGAGGUAUAUGUCAAUUUGCCCUUUUACUGGUGGAGGUAACAUUGACAACUUGAUUUUAAGGUAGUGUCUGUCAGAUUUCUGCAGAGGUAAAGAUACUUUUUUCCUUUGUAAUUAAAAAGUUAUCUGUAUAGGGACUUCCCUGGUGGCGCAGUGCUUAAGAAUCCGCCUGCCAAUGCAGGGGACACGGGUUCAGGCCCUGGUCUGGGAAGAUCCCACAUGCCGCGGAGCAACUAAGCCCGUGCGCCACAACUACUGAGCCUGCGUGCUGCAACUACUGAAGCCCGCGAGCCUAGAGUCCAUGCUCUGCAACAAGAGAAGCCACCACAGUGUGAAGCCCACGCACCGCAACGAAGAGUAGCUCCCGCUCACCACAACCAGAGAAAGCCCGUGCGCAGCACCGAAGACCCAACGCAGACAAAAAUAAAAUAAAUAAAUUUACCA